This 497-nucleotide ribosomal RNA is filed under the name uncultured bacterium. RNAcentral describes it as "partial 16S ribosomal RNA". It matches the Rfam family "Bacterial small subunit ribosomal RNA", at positions 28 to 507 of the family's 1533-position model. The record is from RNAcentral.
GAUGAACGCUGGCGGCGUGCCUAAUACAUGCAAGUCGAGCGAACAGAUGAGGAGCUUGCUCCUCUGACGUUAGCGGCGGACGGGUGAGUAACACGUGGAUAACCUACCUAUAAGACUGGGAUAACUUCGGGAAACCGGAGCUAAUACCGGAUAAUAUAUUGAACCGCAUGGUUCAAUAGUGAAAGACGGUUUUGCUGUCACUUAUAGAUGGAUCCGCGCCGCAUUAGCUAGUUGGUAAGGUAACGGCUUACCAGGGCAACGAUGCGUAGCCGACCUGAGAGGGUGAUCGGCCACACUGGAACUGAGACACGGUCCAGACUCCUACGGGAGGCAGCAGUAGGGAAUCUUCCGCAAUGGGCGAAAGCCUGACGGAGCAACGCCGCGUGAGUGAUGAAGGUCUUCGGAUCGUAAAACUCUGUUAUUAGGGAAGAACAAAUGUGUAAGUAACUAUGCACGUCUUGACGGUACCUAACCAGAAAGCCACGGCUAACUACGUG